Molecule: long non-coding RNA, 10786 nt
Filed under: Nicotiana benthamiana
Lineage: Eukaryota; Viridiplantae; Streptophyta; Magnoliopsida; Solanales; Solanaceae
Description: long non-coding RNA (NBEN_LNC037396)
Source: RNAcentral
UGCCUCUCCUUCUUUGAAUGAUGAUAUUCCAUAAAUGGUCAAGCAUAUGCUGAGAAUCACUACAAGUCCUGCUGCUGCCAAUGAACCAGCUCCUCCUGCAUUAACAGUUAGCGGUGUCAAAUGAACGGGUUAGGCUGAAUUUGAGCAGGUUAAAAUGGGUUGAGUUAAUAAAGGGAACAAUCAUUAACCUGUCUAAACUUGGACAGGGUGUUUUUCAUGGACAUUCAGCUGAACUCUGACAUCUUUGACACGGAGCUUACAUAUAUAUAUUUAAAGUAUUACUAGAUUUUUAACAAAUAUUAAAUUUUGAGCCGAUACUUUUUGGAGUACAAUGAGUUCAUCGUUAAGAAUAUAAAUGCAUGAAGUUAAAAUUUUGAAAUGGACUUUACCUGCAUAUUCAGUAUUUCUUAAUGGACCAGCCUUUACAAAUGGGCCAACUAGUAGGAAUCCAUGGGCCAGGCCCACCUCUACUCCUCGGAGAAGUGGGUUCACUGCGGUCCGGUAGGCCGGUAAGUUGGACAAGUACCAAGCAAUCAAUGGGCUUGAGGUCACUGGAGUUUCAAGACUUCCAAUGAAAGGGUCACCAUUCAGAGGCUGAAUCACUUGGUAAGUAGGCUGCAUAACCAAAAAAAAGGAAAAAAAGAAGAAGAUGAAUUAAAGGAGGUUUGUUGAGAAUUAUUGACAUCCAAUAAACAAAAAGUGGGCAGGGCUACAUGGUUCAAAGAUGUUUAAUCGAAUUGCUUUUGUCGGAAAAUUAUAUCGUGUAUAUAGAUCACAAUUUUUUUUAGAAAACAUGUAUAAAAAUUGUUGAAUCGUUUUGAAAUAAGAUAUAAACUUCCAGCAUAACGGGAACUGUAAACCAAAAUAGUAGUUGUUUUAGAUCACCCAUAAACUACGAGGGGUUCAUGUAGCCUAUGUUGGAUUAGUCACUUUCUAGGCCGAGGCAAAAGGUUGAGAAUAACUCAUUGUUGACUAACAUUUAUGAAUUAUACUUACGAAUCAAGAAAAGACAAUGAGCGCACAAAGCAUCAGCGAUCACGCAGGAUCGGGGAAGGACUGUACCUCAGAAGAUGUAAUUUAGGUAGUCUAUCUUGAUACAAACAUCAAUGGCUAGCUUCGUGCACACUAGAGAAUAUAAUUUGGCAUUUAUAAAUAGAAUUUUUGUAUUUUUCUCUAUCUCCCGGAGAAAAGGAGAUUUGAGGUGACUAGCUUAGUAACUUAUUCAAUUGAAGUUUGUUAAACUUUGGCUCUGCUACCUCUGCCAAGAAAAAGUACUACCAUCGUUUCAAUCUGAAUGACACACUUUUUUAUUAGCCCGUUCCAAAAAAUAGUAUAUUUUUAUAUUUAAAAAUAAUUUAACUUUAAGCUUUGCAUUCUACCCAUUUUACUCAUGAAAAACUUUUAUAGCCACAUAAAUAUUAUGGCCCCACUAAGCUUUUUUCCUUUAAGCUUUUAGUACCACAUGUUUCAAAAGUCUAGGUAUUUUUUUCUUAAACUCUAUGCCAAAUCAAACUAAAAGGGAAGCUCGGUACACUACGAUCUCGCUAUGCGUGAGGUCCAGUGAAGGGUCAGACCGCAAGAAUUUAUUGUACGCAAUCUUACUCUGCAUUUCUAUAAAGGGUUGUUUUCACGGCUUGAACUUGUGAUCUCAUGACACGUGACAACAAAUUUACUAGUUACGCCAGUGCCACGUCAAACUACAUCAUCCAAAUUAAAACGGAUGGCGUAUUACUAGUGAAAUUCAAGAACAUUACAAGACUGAAGAGAAGUGAAUUGGUAUCUUACUUUGUCUGUUUGGACAGCCUUGAUGGUGAAACAAGAUUUUCUAGUUGAAGGAAAGAUUUUAAAAGGAGCACCAGAAAUGCCUUUGGGAGUAACAAGUCCACUGCCUCUUGUUAAAGAAGAAGCAAAUUUGCUCUUGAGCUGGCUGGCCAUUGUGGUGGAAACAGCAGUAGCCAUUUUGGAAAGUUUUGAUGGUCACUGUUUUUUGGUCAGAUAGGAAAUAGUAUAACAAAAAGAUUUAAACUAGUAAUACAGUUGGAUGUAUCAUGUGACUGAUAAACAAAGUCUUUUGAUUUGUGGUUCUGAGGGUUGAUUUAUUCUUACGUGGGAGCUUGUCAUUGGUCAUAUAUAUAACGUUAUCCCUUGUCUCAACUGCAUUGGUUAUGAAUGGAUAGCUAACUCCGGGAGAUAUAUACGGUGUUUAUAUUAACUUUAAGAAUCUCAAAUUAAAACGAGAAUAUAUAUUAUUUAAGCAUUGACUUUAGGAUAAAAGUAUAUCAAGAUACAAGCUAGCAUUAAUUGAUUUGGUGUAAAAAACAGGUCCAAGUCCUUUUUUUUGUGUGCGCGUGCGCUUCAAUUUGUUAAAAGGUCGUGGUUUAACUGCAAUAUCAUAAUUAAUUAAGUUAGAUGUCUAUUCCCCUCCAUUAACUCUUAAAAAGCAGGAGUACUUAGUAAUCUGUACGAACUCUAUGUAUUGGGCAAAAUAAAUAUUACACGUGCCAUUAAUUAUGUAACUGAUAUGGCAAGAUAUGUGAAUCACUAGAAAAACGACAACGGGUAAAGAGUAUUUGAAAAGAUGUGAGUUUUAGGCUCCGUUUGGCCGUAAGUUUUGUCAAAAUAAAUUUAAGAUUUAUUUUUAAAACUCGUGUUUGGCCAUAAAUUUUACUCAUAUUUUGGCUAAAUCCCAAAUCGCAAAUUUCAAAUCUCAAAUCAGCUAUUGAGCCGAAUUUGGAUCAAAAUUCCCAAAACUUGGGAAUUAUAUACAUGUUUUUCCAAAAUAAAGUUGGAAAAUAUGUUUUGAAAACGUAUGUCCAAACACAUUUUCAUGUUCAAACCAAACUUCAUCCAAAUCAGAUUUUUCAAAAUAAAUUUGAAAUCUAUGGCCAAAUGCUAGCUUAGUAAGUAGUACGAGCAAAACGUCUAAAAGACAAGAAGAAACGGUUGCUCGAGUCUCUUUAGUGAUUUAAAGAAGCACCAGUGGAAUGAACCAAAACCAUAAAAAGGAUAGAUUCUUUGAUUUUCAAUUAAUGAACAUGAAUGGUUACAAAUGUUACAAAAUGAAAUAGUUACGAUUACCAAUUAUAACGUUUCAUUAAUAUCAUUAAUGCUCAUAAUGACUCGAUAUAAAGGGAAAAAAUGUUGUACUUAGAGAUAACUAUAUAAGGAACAGAAAUGUCAUAUGUAUGGAUACGUUUAGAUUAUUAUUAAAAUAUAAUUAUUUAUUUUUGCUUUAUAUGGAUUGCUCUGCUAUUCUAAUUUCCUUUCUUACUACAAGAAUAUUGAUUUUCUUGAUUAUCCGUAAUCCGAGUACUUAAAUAGGCUUUGACCAAAAUCUUAUUUUUUGGUUAAAAAAAUUGGUUCCAUAAUCGAAAUCUAAUAAUCUUUUCACUUUUCAGAUUCAUUUUUCUGUCAAGAAAUCACGUCGAACGUUAAGGACAACAACCAACAAAAUCAGCAACAUCAGUUGAACCAACAAAAUCAACAAGGGGAUGGAACUCCAGUCCUUUCACCACGAAACUCUCCUCGACAAUCCCAAGAAGGGACACCCGACAGAACUGAAUCACAUGUGAAUGACCAACAUGAGGAUGAUCAAGCCAUUGAUGAAGCAUUAAAGCAAUUGAUCGCAGAAUAGGUCAACAACGCUCCUCAAGCUUUUGUUAGUGGGUUGCCAACUGUACCACCGACUCCACUUCCAAAUAACAUCGCAACCAUAGAAAAUUCACGCUCGGGACUUGCCAAUUCGGGUAGUGGAGGUACUCCCAGCGAAUCUCGCGAUGGAAGGUCAUGUAUUCCAAUUAAUUCUGAUUUACAAAGUUUAUUACUAACUUUGCAGAAACAACUUAAGGAGUAGAAUGAUCGCAUAGAGUAGAUACCUGGUGUUCCGUCUAUAAUCAAAGGAGUGAACAUGGAUAAAUAUUCUCAACAACCUUGGAAGCGAAGUGCCGCUCCUUUGCCUAUUCUAAAAAAGUUCAAGAUGCCCGAUAUUCCAAAGUAUGACGGGACAACCGAUCCACGAGACCAUAUAAUCGCAUUUACAACUAGCGUGAAAGGAAAAAAUUUGACUAAGCAAGAGACUGAAUCAGUGCUGGUCAAAAGAUUCAGUGAAAUACUCACAAAUGGAGCACUAACAUGGUAUUCUCUUUUACCUGAAAACUCUAUUGAUUCUUUUGCCGAGCUUGCAAAUUCAUUUAUAAAAGCACACUCGGGAGCUCAGAAAGUUGAGAAGAGGAUAGAAGACAUCUUCAAAAUAAAAUAAGGAGAUAUGGAAUUACUCAGGGAAUUCGUGGAUAGAUUCCAACGUGAAAGAAUAAUGCUACCACGCAUACCUGACAAUUGGGCUGCUAUGGCCUUUUCAAGUAAUUUAAAUGAGAAGAGCUCAGAAGCCACGAGGAAACUCAAAGAAAGCUUACGAGAAUUCCCUGCAACAACUUGGAAUGAUGUUUAUAACCAAUAUAAAACGAAGCUGCGUAUAGAAGAAGAUACUAUCACUCAGCCCCGGUGAGAUCAAAGAGUAAGUUCGAGGCAACCAAAAACUGAAAAUAAGGUCCGGUAAGAACAACUACGAACCUUACGUAGGACCAGCAGGAAGGGAUUAACGUUCAAAAUAAGAGAAUCUGAGGUACGAUCCCAGAAUAAAGGACAGAGAUUCGGGUUAGCCUCCCAGGUUUGGAAAGAAGCGAGACACACGAGAUCGCGGGAUAACGAUAGAAGUUCAAAAGCGAAGAUUGGUGGUUAUAGUAUUAAUGUUAGCACAUCUAAGUUGGUAGCUGUUUUAAGAAGUAUAGGAGAUAAGGUGCGGUGGCUAAAGAAAAUGAGGUCGGACUCAAAUAGAAGAAACCCUGAUUUCUGGCGCGAGUUUCAUAAUGAUCAUGGUCACAAAAUAACAUAUUGCAGAUUGCUACAAGAUGAAGUAGAGAACUUAUUAAAAUAAGGCUACUUAACUGAUUUGUUUAAUGAGAAGGGUAAGUAAUCAUACAUGAAGAAUAGACAGGAGCCACCAAAACCUCUAUCACCAAAAAUAACAGUUAAUUAAUGCCAUAAGUGGAGGGUAUGAGAUCAAUGGCAUGACGUAUACGGCUGCAAAGAAGGUGUCAAAAAUCAUAAUCACCCACGGGAAAUGAGUUCGCCAAGUUUUGGAAGAAGACAAUAUGAUAUUUGAUGAUGCCGACGCAGAUGGCGUGUUGAUCUCACACAAUGAUACACUGGUAAUAUCUUUACUUGUACAUAAUACUAAUGUAAAAUGAGUUUUGGAUGAUCCAGGUAGCUCUAUAAAUAUUAUUCUUCUAAGAGUGGUAAAUAGGAUGCAAGUUGAUGACAAAUUGGUACCCAAAGCAGUACCUUAUCUGGAUUUGACAAUUCAAGCGUUGUCAAAAAAGGAAAAUAAUACUCAUCACAUUCGCAGAAGGAGUAGUUAAAGAUACGAAAUUUCAAGUGAUAGAUAUGGAUAUGAAGUAUAAUAUAAUCAUAGGUAGACCUUGGAUUCAUGAGAUGGAUGUUGUUUCAUCUACCUUGCAUCAGGUUAUCAAGUUCCCUUCGUAAUAGGGAAUAAGAUAAAUACACGGUGAUCAACAGGCUUAUCAAAGCUUUAAUUCAGUGGCAAAUUCAAGCGCAAAAAGUGACGUUGUAGGUGAAAAAUAGCAAUUAUAAAAUUCAAUUGAGGGUUUAGCAACACAAAUUGCAACUGCAGAUUACAAUGAAUGUAGACUCAAGGGACUGAUAAUAUCCAAGAGCCAGAAGAGAAUGAAAACAUCAAAUAAACAAUUGAAGAAUUGGAAGCUGUGGUGCUGUUUAUACAUUGGUCAGAUAGAAAAGUUUACAUUGGAACCAACCUUAGCCCAGAGAUGAAAAGUAAAUUCAUUGAAAUUUUUAAAGCUAACACAUAUUGUUAAUUGCUAAACUUCCUUGGCCUUUCCUUUCAAUUGUUCGGUGUAUAUGCAGUCUUGGGGGAUCUGGUAGCAUUCUCGGGAUGUGCGUUGCUAUCCCCGGAUGUAGAAUACUCCAGGGGGUGGGAAAUUUUAUGACUUGGUACAAACUAGAGGGGACGACUUUCAUGGUGUAUAUCCAUGAUCACCCUAUGAUGGCACUGUACGUCGUAUCCUCAUCCAUGAUGUGGAACAUGGUCUCCAAGGUGACGCCGACGGCCAGAACGGCAGUGCGACUCUCCAGAUGUCCUCUCAACUACAUUGUUAAAACCUAUUAGCGUGAUGCAACGUGGCACUAUCUUUUCCUAGAGCUUCACUUGGGUUAGAACUCGAGGAUGGAUGAUGCACGCUCUACUUCCAUCAUCGACCAUAAAACGUCUUACAUCAGUAUCAAAAACACGUAAAGUAAUGACAAGAGUGUCAUAGUGAGGGAAGACCAAACCGUGGGUUUCUAACUUAUCGAACAUGAUACUUUCUUCGAGUUCAUCAUACAAUUUAUGGGUGACCGACCGCUUGAGUUUUUAGGCGGUGGUGAACUUCAGAUUAUUGAUAAAUGCGCCAUCGCCUCCUCCGAUAAUCAUUUGAAUGGUCUGAACUAGGGAUGGUAGUUUGGGCGGCCCCUGGUGUUAUUAUCUCCCUCGGGUGAAGUUGGCCUUCCCAUGAUCGCUCAUCAGCUCUUUCAGGUGUCCUUUGUGAAGCAUGUUCAAGACCUCUUAUGUAAGGGCGAUGAAAUCCUCGGUUCUAUGGACUCGUUCCUAGUGGAACUCGCAGAGGUCAUUUGACUUUCUAGUGCUCGUGACAGAUUUCAUCUUGUGUGGCCAUUUUACCAUUAGACCAAGCUUUUUUUGUGCGUAGACUAUAUCUGGGGAAAACACAAAAAUUGUGAGUUGAUAAUAAGGGGGCAUACCUCUUUCAUUUCGGUGAAUUCCCGUUCAUAGCCUAGAUGGGCCUUCAUCGUGGCGUUAAGGCGGCAUGAGGGUGCCUCUGACAUAAGGCCGAUGUCUUUCUCAAUUAGGUCGAGAUCCUGCUUGAUCCCUCUUACUAUCAUUUCUCCGAUCUUUCCUGGACUCUAUUUGGACCGAAGUUAGACAUUGAGAUCAUCUUCGAUGGUUCUUACCUUGGCAAAGUAGGCGUUGUGUAUCUCGUCCCAAGUAGUUGAAGGGUAUUUCAUGAGUGGGCUCAGCAAUUCUUUUGUUGCCCGCGACCCACUUCUACUUAUCCCAUUCUGGAAUGAGGCUACCGUCAUUCCUUCAGAUACAUUUAGAAGGAUCAUUUUUACACGAUUGAACGAGGCGAGGAAGUCCCUAAGCCCUUCGCCAAGUGAUUGCUUAAUGGUGAAUAUGUCGUUCACCCUCGCCUCUAAUCUUUUGCCCCGGCAUGGGCGGUGAAGAACUUUUCAGCUAUUUUCUCGUACGUUUCUAUAGAGCGCGCAGGUCACUGCGAGUACCAAGUCAGUGAUCUGCAGGUUAAGGUCUCUCCAAAUUUCUUCAGCAAUAUGUAUGAUACGUGUUCUUUACUGAGGUUGUUGCCUUUACUGCAGUGACAUAGUGGGUUACAUGAUCCUCAGGGUCCGUCGUGCCGUCAUAUAUUUUCAAUUAUGGCGGUAUUUUGAAAAGUUUUGGUAUGGCGUGUGGUGCAGCCUCGUCGCUAUAUGGUUGCUCGAUAAUCCAACCGACGUCUUUUUUUGGCAGAAGUUUGGGGGCACCUAGUAUUUUGUCUACCUUUUCUUAGUGCUCUUUUACUUGGUGAUGGAGUAUUUUGUUCUCGUUCUCCAUAUCCUCCAUUUUCCUCAAAAUGGUUGUGAGGGUGUCAUUACCUACAUCACUAUCAUUCUGAGUAAUACCUGAUAUGUGGGGGGAUUAAAGCAAUUGAUCGCAGAAUAGGUCANNNNNNNNNNNNNNNNNNNNNNNNNNNNNNNNNNNNNNNNNNNNNNNNNNNNNNNNNNNNNNNNGGGGGGGGGGGGGGGGAGCUGAUGCGACACCAGCUCUUGUUUCUUCCUUAUUCGACCUCCGAGUGAGCUUGUCGAGGAAGUCGGUUAACGUAUUUGUUAACCAUGACUCAAGUAACGUUUUCAUUGCUUGUGGUGUUUCUUCUGUCGGGGAUGCAGAGGCACCUUUUCCGUGUGAGGUCGUGACGUUGUCGGGAGGUGGAGGCGAGUUGUUUUGCCUGGAAAAGUUGUUUGGUGUUAUGUCUUCACCCUUUGUUUCGUUUAUUUCGUUAAUGGUGUUGAGGAGAUUGGUGGUGAGAUCAGCUAUCGCAUUUCUCUUUUCUCCCAUUGCCUGCAUAUCAGAUUUUUGCAAACAAGGAAAUACAAGAUUUUGCAAGGCUUUGUGCGUUAUUUUUAUUAGAUCUAGAAGAAACUAAAACUUUAACUAGAAAGUCCCACAGACGGCGCCAAAUUAUUUGACCAAAUAGUGUUAAGCCUUUUAGCUAAACUAAUUAUAUAAAAUGAUGAUGGGUAAAUUCUAAUUAAAUAUAAUAAGUCUUAGAUCCAAGAUUGAUGGAUAUCAAUGAUAUAAAAAUUGCAUUCAAGGUUAUUAAAUAUCAAAUGUGUGUUUAAUUAUAUUGUUAUGAAUGAAUGAGAGGACAGUGACAAGCAAUAAAUAUGAUAAAUGACAGUAAAGGUAAAUAAAGAGUAUGAUUCACCGAAAUAUUCAAUGAGGUGAAUGAUUCUCCCUCUAACAGUGAUUUAAGGUAGCCAAAUGUGGGAAUAUAGAGAAUUUUAUAGAUCUGAUGUAAGAAAUGUUAGGACAAACAACAACUUGAAUCUUGUGCAAAUAUAUUGUUUAUGGUUACUUGAUAGUCAACUUUUCUAUAGAGAGCUUAUCAUAUAGAAUAUUACUUCUCUCUUUUUUUCUCUCUAUCUUCCUACUUAUAUGAGACAUAUUCCUUAUCUACUGAAAGUACAAGUGAGAGAAUAUUUUGCAGAAUAUUUCUUUAAAAUAUCUUAUUGUUAAACUAGCUGUUUUGGCCGAUUUGAAUGCUCGACUUGACCUUAGCUGCUCGGCUCGCCAAUGUUACUUCUUAAGCAUGACCUCAGCCUAAUUGAUUCUUGAUUGCCCUCUUUCAAGCGAGGUCCCUUGAUCAGAUUUUGACCCAUACAUUUAUGAUGAUACUAUUAUUCUUAUGAUAUCUGUUGGUGGUACUAAUAUUGUCUCUUUUCGCCUUCUUGAGCCGAAGGUCUUCCGGAAACAGUCUCUCUACUCCCUCGGGGUAGGCGUAAGAUCUGCAUACACACUACCUCCUCAAACCCCACUAGUGAAAUUUUACUGAAUUGUUGUUGUAUACCAACAUCGCUAUCACUUUAGCUAAUUUAACUGAUUAUAACACGUGGUGUGCUAUUAUUCUAGAAUAUUCCCCCAUGAAUAUUAUUAUAAAUAGACUUUAAACAACUUAAUUGAGUAAAUAUAGACCACUUUACAUGAGAUUUUGAUGUUAAGGCGUAGAAAAUUAGUUUAAUAAAACCUAUGAGAUCCUUGUAUAAUCAUUCUAUUUUCUAUUCAAAUCUUAACAAGUUAUUUUGUACCUAUUUUUCUUUCUUGACUCGUUAAUGGAAAACAUCAAGUAACGUAUUUAAAAUAAUAUCGAGUCUAGAGCUUUCUCGUGUAAAAGAAACCAAUUCGAAAAUAACACCUUGAAAUGAUCGCUUUAAAUUAUUCAUUUAUAAUUACAAUAGCAUUUUCUACGAAUAUGCAAUUUUUUUUAAGAUGUGGGUUUAACUUCUAUACAUUACUGACUAUGCAACUAUCAUGCUAUUUAAAAGGAAAUUAAAAAUAACUACAAUCUAUGAUGAAUGAAAUUAGUAACUUGAAAGAUAAGACUAGUAACUCACUACAAACAUGUUAAAUUAUACUGAUAAUAUAAAAAUUCAUUACACUCCACGAAGAGCUCAUAUGUUCAAUAUACAAUUUCCAUUAAUUCAAUAUUCAAAAUAGUUACAUCAAUUGCAGAAUUUCAAAAAUUUAUUUAACGUAGUAAGGAAGAUCAAGGACAUAAAGGAGGAAAUAAGCCCAAGUGACACCAGAAAUUCCACCAAAAAAGAAACCACCUGUGAACUUAGACCAUCCCUCUGCUGUUUGCAAUUGGUCUGGCACCUUUUUCCUCCCUGUCAAUGUCAAUGCUGGUGCUGUUGAUGCCUCUCCUUCUUUGAAUGAUGAUAUUCCAUAAAUGGUCAAGCAUAUGCUGAGAAUCACUACAAGUCCUGCUGCUGCCAAUGAACCAGCUCCUCCUGCAUUAACAGUUAGCGGUGUCAAAUGAACGGGUUAGGCUGAAUUUGAGCAGGUUAAAAUGGGUUGAGUUAAUAAAGGGAACAAUCAUUAACCUGUCUAAACUUGGACAGGGUGUUUNNNNNNNNNNNNUUGGGGGGGGGGGGGGUCAUAUUUUCAUGGACAUUCAGCUGAACUCUGACAUCUUUGACACGGAGCUUACAUAUAUAUAUUUAAAGUAUUACUAGAUUUUUAACAAAUAUUAAAUUUUGAGCCGAUACUUUUUGGAGUACAAUGAGUUCAUCGUUAAGAAUAUAAAUGCAUGAAGUUAAAAUUUUGAAAUGGACUUUACCUGCAUAUUCAGUAUUUCUUAAUGGACCAGCCUUUACAAAUGGGCCAACUAGUAGGAAUCCAUGGGCCAGGCCCACCUCUACUCCUCGGAGAAGUGGGUUCACUGCGGUCCGGUAGGCCGGUAAGUUGGAUAGGUACCAAGCAAUCAAUGGGCUUGAGGUCACUGGAGUUUCAAGACUUCCAAUGAAAGGGUCACCAUUCAAGGGCUGAAUCACUUGGUAAGUGGGCUGCAUAACCAAGAAAGAAAAAAAAAAUUAAUUUAAAUAGCUUCUCACCUAACUGUUUAAACUAAAAGUAGCCAUUAUU